Molecule: transfer RNA, 73 nt
Filed under: Bacteroidales bacterium
Lineage: Bacteria; Pseudomonadati; Bacteroidota; Bacteroidia; Bacteroidales
Description: tRNA-Lys
Rfam family: tRNA
About the family: Transfer RNA (tRNA) molecules are approximately 80 nucleotides in length. Their secondary structure includes four short double-helical elements and three loops (D, anti-codon, and T loops). Further hydrogen bonds mediate the characteristic L-shaped molecular structure. tRNAs have two regions of fundamental functional importance: the anti-codon, which is responsible for specific mRNA codon recognition, and the 3' end, to which the tRNAs corresponding amino acid is attached (by aminoacyl-tRNA synthetases). tRNAs cope with the degeneracy of the genetic code in two manners: having more than one tRNA (with a specific anti-codon) for a particular amino acid; and 'wobble' base-pairing, i.e. permitting non-standard base-pairing at the 3rd anti-codon position.
Source: RNAcentral
GGUCGCAUAGCUCAGCAGGUAGAGCACAUCCCUUUUAAGGAUGGGGUCCUGGGUUCGAAUCCCAGUGCUACCA